UGGGGAAUAUUGGACAAUGGGCGCAAGCCUGAUCCAGCCAUGCCGCGUGAGUGACGAAGGCCUUAGGGUUGUAAAGCUCUUUCGGCGGGGAAGAUAAUGACGGUACCCGCAGAAGAAGCCCCGGCUAACUCUGUGCCAGCAGCCGCGGUAAUACAGAGGUGGCAAGCGUUGUUCGGAAUUACUGGGCGUAAAGGGCGCGUAGGCGGCCCUCUAAGUCAGACGUGAAAUCCCCCGGCUUAACCUGGGAACUGCGUCUGAUACUGGAGGGCUUGAGUAUGGGAGAGGGAUGUAGAAUUCCAGGUGUAGCGGUGAAAUGCGUAGAUAUCAAGAGGAACACCUGAGGCGAAGGCGGUUGCUAGGCUGACACUGACGCUGAGGCGCGAAAGCUAGGGUAGCAAACGGGAUUAGAUACCCAUGUAGUCCCUGAGCGGGCUGGCAAGGCGCAU
This 446-nucleotide ribosomal RNA is filed under the name uncultured bacterium. Its description in RNAcentral is "bacterial SSU rRNA". It matches the Rfam family "Bacterial small subunit ribosomal RNA", at positions 355 to 825 of the family's 1533-position model. The record is from RNAcentral.